GGGGAUGCUUGGUUUCGACAGGAUUUCGUUGGAUUUAGAUGGCAGUGGAUUGGUUACCUAAUAACCACAAAAAAAUAACUGGAAACAGAUUAAAUAACCAAUACGGUUUCGCUUACGCUGCUUAAUUAAAGCCUAAGACGUAAUGCCGCUUGAUUGAUUUGGUCUUUGGAUCAAUUAAAGCGAAUAAGAAACAAAGACUAAGCAUUAACAAUACUCUGGGUUGUUGAUGAUGAAAACUUUCACUGGAGACUUCACAGAAAACAUGUCAGUUUGUUGCCUGUGAAUACUGAUAACUGACUAAACUGUAGAUAUCUAAAUGUGGACACUUUUUGGACAGGGGUUCGAGUCCCCUCAUCUCCACCA
Molecule: transfer-messenger RNA, 363 nt
Filed under: Erysipelothrix sp.
Lineage: Bacteria; Bacillati; Bacillota; Erysipelotrichia; Erysipelotrichales; Erysipelotrichaceae
Also listed under: 1 other name
Rfam family: transfer-messenger RNA
About the family: Bacterial tmRNA, also known as 10Sa RNA or SsrA, is named for its dual tRNA and mRNA-like properties. Its role is to liberate the mRNA from a stalled ribosome. To accomplish this part of the tmRNA is used as a reading frame that ends in a translation stop signal.
Source: RNAcentral